Molecule: ribosomal RNA, 486 nt
Filed under: uncultured bacterium
Lineage: Bacteria
Description: partial 16S ribosomal RNA
Rfam family: Bacterial small subunit ribosomal RNA
Source: RNAcentral
AUUGAACGCUGGCGGCAUGCCUUACACAUGCAAGUCGAACGGCAGCACGGGUGCUUGCACCUGGUGGCGAGUGGCGAACGGGUGAGUAAUACAUCGGAACAUGUCCUGUAGUGGGGGAUAGCCCGGCGAAAGCCGGAUUAAUACCGCAUACGAUCCACGGAUGAAAGCGGGGGACCUUCGGGCCUCGCGCUAUAGGGUUGGCCGAUGGCUGAUUAGCUAGUUGGUGGGGUAAAGGCCUACCAAGGCGACGAUCAGUAGCUGGUCUGAGAGGACGACCAGCCACACUGGGACUGAGACGCGGCCCAGACUCCUACGGGAGGCAGCAGUGGGGAAUUUUGGACAAUGGGCGAAAGCCUGAUCCAGCAAUGCCGCGUGCGUGAAGAAGGCCUUCGGGUUGUAAAGCACUUUUGUCCGGAAAGAAAUCCUUGGCUCUAAUACAGUCGGGGGAUGACGGUACCGGAAGAAUAAGCACCGGCUAACUACGUG